Molecule: long non-coding RNA, 523 nt
Organism: Solanum pennellii
Lineage: Eukaryota; Viridiplantae; Streptophyta; Magnoliopsida; Solanales; Solanaceae
Exons: 2
Source: RefSeq, a predicted model, not a curated record
CAAAAAUCAUAUACAAGUUACAAUGAAACUGGACACAAGCGGUUAUAAAAAGUCUUCUGUUUGUAGGUAACCAAGAUGAAGGUUCGAAGGGGACCAACAAUGGAUCUCGAGUGUCGUCCACGUUUAAGGUGUAGGCUUGGAUCGUGGCAUUAUGUUUCUGCAAAGUUGUUGUCAUAAGUUUCACACAAGUCUUCUCUACUGAAAUUGUUGAAGGUACAAUAAAAAAAGUAUCCCUUAAAAAUCUAUACAACCAUCUCUUGGAGACAUAAUUCAAAUUUGGUAUGUCGUUGUAAGGACAUAAAAAUCUUAAAAACCUUAUUGUGCCUUAAUGUGCAAAGUGAAUCAGGAAAAGAAGACAAGAAUUAAUAAACUUUAGACAUGACUUCAAGGAUGUGGUGUUGGAUGACCUAUAGAGGAAUAUGACUACUCUUUUAAUCCCAAAGACAUAUAUAACUACCCAAUAAAUUAAUUGCUCAAAUAUGAAGUGUGGAAAGAUUCUCAAAUUUACUGCAAGUUGUAAAUA